GACGAACGCUGGCGGCGUGCUUAACACAUGCAAGUCGAACGGGAACCUUUAUUUCGGUAAAGGUGAGAGUGGCAAACGGGUGAGUAACACGUAGGCAACCUGCCGACAGGAUGGGGACAACAUUCCGAAAGGAAUGCUAAUACCGAAUGGAGUCCAGGGAUGGCAUCAUCCCUGGAUAAAAGAUGGCCUCUGAAUAUGCUAUCACCUGUCGAUGGGCCUGCGUCUGAUUAGCCAGUUGGCGGGGUAACGGCCCACCAAAGCGACGAUCAGUAGCCGGUCUGAGAGGAUGAACGGCCACAUUGGGACUGAGACACGGCCCAGACUCCUACGGGAGGCAGCAGUGGGGAAUCUUCCACAAUGGGCGAAAGCCCUGAUGGAGCAAACGCCGCGUGAGUGAAGAAGGUCUUUCGGAUUCG
This 416-nucleotide ribosomal RNA is filed under the name Selenomonas sp. oral taxon C23. RNAcentral describes it as "bacterial SSU rRNA". It matches the Rfam family "Bacterial small subunit ribosomal RNA", at positions 28 to 426 of the family's 1533-position model. Lineage: Bacteria; Bacillati; Bacillota; Negativicutes; Selenomonadales; Selenomonadaceae. The record is from RNAcentral.